Molecule: ribosomal RNA, 441 nt
Filed under: uncultured bacterium
Lineage: Bacteria
Description: partial 16S ribosomal RNA
Rfam family: Bacterial small subunit ribosomal RNA
Source: RNAcentral
CCUACGGGAGGCAGCAGUGGGGGAUAUUGCACAAUGGGGGGAACCCUGAUGCAGCGACGCCGCGUGGGUGAAGGAGCGUUUCGGCGCGUAAAGCCCUAUCGGCAGGGAAGAAGGAGGACGGUACCUGACUAAGAAGCCCCGGCUAACUACGUGCCAGCAGCCGCGGUAAUACGUAGGGGGCAAGCGUUAUCCGGAUUUACUGGGUGUAAGGGGGGCGCAGACGGCAGCGCAAGCCAGGAGUGAAAGCCCGGGGCCCAACCCCGGGACUGCUCUUGGAACUGCGCGGCUGGAGUGCAGGAGGGGCAGGCGGAAGUCCUGGUGUAGCGGUGGAAUGCGUAGAUAUGAGGAGGAACACCAGUGGCGAAGGCGGCCUGCUGGACUGCGACUGACGUUGAGGCCCGAAAGCGUGGGGAGCAAACAGGAUUAGAUACCCGGGUAGUC